Molecule: ribosomal RNA, 2417 nt
Filed under: Sphaeroma serratum
Lineage: Eukaryota; Metazoa; Arthropoda; Malacostraca; Isopoda; Sphaeromatidae
Description: partial 18S ribosomal RNA
Rfam family: Eukaryotic small subunit ribosomal RNA
Source: RNAcentral
UUUACCUGGUUGAUCCUGCCAGUAGUCAUAUGCUUGUCUCAAAGACUAAGCCAUGCAUGUCUAAGUACAGGCCUACCUAAGGCGAAACCGCAAACGGCUCAUUAAAUCAGUCUUAAUCCAAUGGAUGUUGACUCUAAACUUACUCGGAUAACCGUGGUAAUUCUAGAGCUAAUACGUGCAAUUGAGCUCCGACCCCGUCCCCUAACGGGCGGCGGGGAAGGGGCGCAUUUAUUAGAAUCAUAAACCGAGCGAGCUUCGGCUCGACUCAUUGCGUUUUUGAUGACUCUGGAUAACUACGCCGAGCGCUGAGGCCUUCGUGCCGGCGCCGUAUCCACCGAGUGACUGCCUUAUCAGCUCUCGAUUGUAGGUUAUUCGCCUACAAUGGCUGUCACGGGUAACGGGGAAUCAGGGUUCGAUUCCGGAGAGGGAGCCUGAGAAACGGCUACCACAUCUAAGGAAGGCAGCAGGCACGCAAAUUACCCAAUCCCAGUACGGGGAGGUAGUGACGAUAAAUACUGAUGCGUGACCGUUCCGAGGCCACGCAAUCGGAAUGAGUCCAAAUUAAGCAAGUGGACGAUAAGCCAUUGGAGGGCAAGUCUGGUGCCAGCAGCCGCGGUAAUUCCAGCUCCAAUAGUUUAUACUAAAGUUGCUGCGGUUAAAAAGCUCGUAGCUAAAAUUCAGUAUAAUGAUACGACCUACCCGAGGCUACUCCGAGUAGUUCGCGUACCGUCCUUCCUUACCCACGCCACCUCGCAAAAAGUCGUUGCGAUCGUUAAAAACGGUGCGUCCUGAUCGUUCAGUCGGGCUUACGAGAGGCCUACUCGUUUACUCGCUUGCUUGAACGCUGUAAUUUCGAUUCUCGUUCUUCUCGCGGUGCGGGUUAGGGGGUUCGUAACGACCCGGCCUGAACAAAAAGAUCUUGACGAUAUGCAUCGUGAUCGUACUCGAUGAGGCGGUGCUGGGCGGUUGGAACAAACGGGAAGCGGCGACGAGGAAGUAUGUUCUCGCGGCGUUAGGGUCGUAUUGUUAUUCCUAACUCGUUGGUUCUCACGGGAGUACUCUUUAUCGAGUGUCCCCCGCGUGGCCAACACGUUCACUUUGAAAAAAUAAGAGUGCUCAAAGCAGGCAAUACUUAAAGCCUGUCUUCAAAUGCAUUGUAUGAUGCAAAAGGACCUUGGUUAAUUUUUCUCGGUUUCUCUAACUCGAGGUAAUGAUUAAUAGAAACGGAAGGAGGCAUUAGUAUUGCGGCGCGAGAGGUGAAAUUCAUGGACCGUCGCAAGACUACCUACUGCGAAAGCAUUUGCCUAUUACGUUUUCUUUAGUCAAGAACGAAAGUUAGAGUAUCGAAGGCGAUUAGAUACCGCCCUAGUUCUUACCUUAAACAAUGCCAACUGUCGAUCCGCUCAAAGUCAAUCCCACGACUGAGCGGGGAGUCCCAGGGAAACCAAAGUCUUUUGGUUCCGGGGGAAGUAUGGUUGCAAAGCUGAAACUUAAAGGAAUUGACGGAAGGGCACCACCAGGAGUGGAGCCUGCGGCUUAAUUUGACUCAACACGGGGAAACUCACCAGGCCCAGACACUGGAAGGAUUGACAGAUUGAGAGCUCUUUCUCGAUUCGGUGGGAGGUGGUGCAUGGCCGUUCUUAGUUGGUGGAGUGAUUUGUCUGGUUAAUUCCGAUAACGAACAAGAUUCUUACCUACUAAAUAGUCGGUGGAUCGUAUCCCGAGAAACGUCCCGCUCGGGGGGUCCCCGGCGAACGUGGACGCUAAUCCGGGCGCUCCUCCCUUCCUUCCGAAAGCGACGCGUUAAUGCCGUGUCGGCUUCCUCAACGUUCCUCGUUCGCGGGGGCGUUGGGGGGUCGGUUCUGGUACGUCUAUCGCCUAGGAGGGUUUAAAAAGGGAGUGCGGUUGCUCGUGAGGACGCGUCGCUUCGCCGAGAGAUUCCCCCGUUCAGGGCAAUUCGAGGGGCGUCCAUCGUCGUAUCUUCUUAGAGGUACCGGCGACGUAAAAGUUGCACGAGAAAGAGCAAUAACAGGUCUGUGAUGCCCUUAGAUGUUCUGGGCCGCACGCGCGCUACAAUGCAGGGAGCAGCGUGCUUCCCCCCUCCGAAAGGAGCGGGUAACCCUUUGAAACCCCUUCCCGAUAGGGAUUGGGGAUUGUAAGUGUUUCCCAUGAACGAGGAAUUCCUCGUAAGCGUAAGUCAUGGAGCUUGCGAUGAUUACGUCCCUGCCCUUUGUACACACCGCCCGUCGCUACUACCGAUGAAUGAUUAAGUGAGGUCGUCGGACCUGUGCCCUCGGUAGCCUACGGCGAGUCCGUUAGCACCCUCCGGGCAGCAGGGAAGACGUCCAAAUUCGAUCAUUUAGAGGAAGUAAAAGUCGUAACAAGGUUUCCGUAGGUGAACUGCGGGAAAGAAUCAA